GUGUCAGCAGCCGCGGUAAUACGGGGGGGGCAAGCGUUGUUCGGAAUUACUGGGCGUAAAGGGCUCGUAGGUGGCCAACUAAGUCAGACGUGAAAUCCCUCAGCUUAACUGGGGAACUGCGUCUGAUACUGGAUGGCUUGAGUUUGGGAGAGGGAUGCGGAAUUCCAGGUGUAGCGGUGAAAUGCGUAGAUAUCUGGAGGAACACCUGCGGCGAAGGCGGGUUGCUGGGCCGACACUGACGCUGAUGCGCGAAAGCCAGGGGAGCGAACGGGAUUAGAUACCCCGGUAGUCCUGGCCUUAAACGAUGGAUGCUUGGUGUCUGGGGUUUUAUAGUCCCCGGGUGCCGCAGCUAACGCGUUAAGCAUCCCGCCUGGGGAGUACGGUCGCAAGACUGAAACUCAAAUGAAUUGACGG
Molecule: ribosomal RNA, 414 nt
Filed under: uncultured bacterium
Lineage: Bacteria
Description: bacterial SSU rRNA
Rfam family: Bacterial small subunit ribosomal RNA
Source: RNAcentral